UUAUAAAGAUUACUUGUUUCCGUGUAAAACCCCAUAUCUGUUGAUUUAACUAUCUGCCAUUCUUCCCAGCUUUGUUCACGAUGAUGUAUUUCACCGAGUGUGCCUUCCCGGCUGUGUGUUUUUGUAAGCCCCGUCUGCUAAGGAAGGCAGAGAACUACUCAGCAGCAGUAAUAGCUCUUGAAAGGCAGCAAGAGGAACUCGCUAAUUGGCUGCUUUAUCAUUUUCAUCUCCAAGUCUGGACUCCAAUUGAAAGGGGAGGGAACUGGUACUGAGUGAUAUAAAAAAAAACUUUGAGAAAGUUUUAAAGCUGAGAAAAUGCAGAAGACAUUGCAGAUUAAUCUUGAAGCGAGAGAAAGGCAACUGUGGACAUAAAAAGACAGAUUAACAAGGCAUUACUGGAAUAAGAAGGGAAAAAAAUAGAGAUUUGUAGCACAUAUUCUGCAGAACGCCAGUCAGCUGUUAGGAGGAAGGUGGCACAGCCAGAAAUAUAAUUACCAAAGGGUAAUAGAGUAAAGGAAUCUGGAAGCACAUUCAUGUCAUAUAGAGAGGAAAAAAAAAUCCUCAGUCAAGCGGAAAUCCAAUCACAAGAGACCGUGGCAAGUAAAGUGCGGGGCCGCUUUCUGCAUCCAGAAAAGUCAUUAAAAGUUUCAGGAGGAAAGCAGGUAAUUCUGUACAAUCUUCCUCAAUGGCCACUGCCUGUAUUUCACCGGACAUUUCAGUUGAGAUGAAUGAAGACAGUCCAGGGAAUGAGGAUUCUGGGGCUGAACCCAAGCAGAAGAGCAGUGAAAGCCCAUACCUUGUGAGCACAACUACCGGCGGUGUGGAGAAUUCUUGCCACAGCUGCAUGCUGGCCUUUGGAAUGGUGACUUUUAUCAUUGGCAUAUCAACCUCAAGCCUGGCCUAUGCUACUAACUCUGUUGGCUCUGUCCUCUUCUCACUGGGCAUAACAGUGUUGUUCAUGGGCAUUGCAUCAGUCACAUUCAGCUGUGUAUGGAGAUACUAUAGGAAGAAGAGGAAAGAGCGGAUGAAAGAGGACCUAGCAGAACUGUUUUAUGAGUACCAGCAAAAAAAGAUCAGGGUGUAGCAUCUAUAAAAUGUUCCUCAUAUCUCAUUAUGCUUUGCCUUCAACUGAUUAUGCGACGCAUUUGACCAACAAAGAAUCAGUGAUGGGAAGCUCAUGAAAAAUGUUUUUACUGGAAUAUAAGUACUAGGGCAGAAAGACCUGCAGAUAAAUGCACUCACAGUGUAAACUAAACAAUGUAAGACACAGGCAUAACUACUAGACUUCAUAUCAAAAUCCAAUCUCCGUCCCUUUGAGGAAGAUCAUGUGUUUCACACAUAUACAGGGCUCGUUUACAAAAGCAGUCCUACUGUAUGUGUUUUACACGCAAUACAUUGCUUGGCCUCAGAAUUUUAGUGUAAUAGUUCGCCCCUUUGAAUGUGCAGGUGCCACAACUUGCACUCAAUUAACCAUUGCAGGUGCACGUUCAUUUCUAUGUUGGUAAAUGACAUGCAAGGAUAAAUAUAAUAUAAGUAAGCAUAAGAGUUUUUCAGUCUUAGCCAGUUGCAUGUGCAGGGGCAGCAUAAUGGCUCCUGUGAGUUCUGUGCUUUGCACCUUGUGCGCAAUUCAUCACAGUUGCAAGGGUUGUGUAUGCAAGUGAACAGUGUGUUUGCCCUCCUAAAUAAGUCCUAGAGAUGAAAAGUAUCAUUUAUGAUAAGUGCAAGUGUGGUCAGCCUUAAAUUGCCCACAAAUGUUGCAUGCCAUUCAUUAUGGUCAAGGAUGUGUUAUAAUUGCACUAAACAUUCUUGAGUCUGCUGGUGAAUCUUGCGCAAGAUGCUGGGGAACCCUGCAACAGACCUGUGCCAAAACAAUCAUGCACAAAUGCAGUUCCCACUCUGAAAAUGUUAGCCGCAACCUACACCUAAUUUGCAAAAUAUACACUCAUAUUUGUAUGAUUUUGAUGCAUCAGGCCAUUUGCAUGGAUGCAACUCAGCACUCUGGAUUUCUGGGGGAAAAGCUGCAUUGUGGGUAAAAACACAUGGUGAUUUGCAUCCAAAACUUGCACAUUGCAAUCCAUCAGAAAUUAACCUUAAAUAGUCCAUUAUCUGGAAAUCCAUUUAUCCAUAUAGCUCCAAAUUACAGAAUUGCUGUCUCUCCCAUAGACUUUAUUUUAUCCAAAAAAUCCAAACAGUGGUAUAACUAUAGAGAAAACAGACCCUGUAGUCGCAGGGAGAGCCGGGGGAAACGGGAGCCCAGACUUGGGGACAGUAUCCUCUAUAGCCACAAUACUUACUAACAAUUUGCAUGCACGCUGCUCAUGCAAGUAGGAACGUGCCCAAGGGAGCAGAUGGAUGUGUGAAUGAUGUGCGCUUGUUGGCACACUGCUGAAUCCAAAUAUCCUUUAAGGUAUGAAGACUCAAGUUAGAUCUGUUAUCUGUAAAACCCCAGGUCCCAAGCAUUCUGGAUAACAGGUCCCAUACCUGUACUAACCCCCCCCCCAGCAGUGAGUAGGUCUGUGCUUCUAUACAGUAGUUGUACCCCUUUUUUACAAUAUAACUGACUGCUUAUCUGUUUCUAUGGUGCACACGGAACUAUACAGAUUUUUCAUAACUUACUGUACAAUUGCUUUGUGUUUUCAUCAAGUAAAAUAUUGUUCUCUGAUAAACCAUCAGGAUUUUGCUAUGUUCAUCUGGAAUUUGAUAAAUGUACCACAAAGUA
Xenopus laevis (African clawed frog) is the source of this 2719-nucleotide long non-coding RNA. RefSeq lists it as uncharacterized. NCBI's taxonomy places the organism in Eukaryota, Metazoa, Chordata, Amphibia, Anura, Pipidae. The record is from RefSeq and is a predicted model, not a curated record. The transcript has 2 exons.